Molecule: long non-coding RNA, 256 nt
Filed under: Lathyrus oleraceus (garden pea)
Lineage: Eukaryota; Viridiplantae; Streptophyta; Magnoliopsida; Fabales; Fabaceae
Description: Pisum sativum (pea) long non-coding RNA (PSAT_LNC001575)
Source: RNAcentral
AUCAUUAUUACAGGUACAGUUGGUGACUUGUCGGUGACUUGUUGGUGACUUGUGAUCCUGUUGGUGACUUGGUUCCGUAGAUUGGGUCUCAGAUGAAUUUGGGUUUCAGAUGAUUUGUGGUUCCAAGUUCAAGCCGAAUCUGUGAUCUUGUGCUCCGAGAUACACAGCCAGCCAGUCUUGUCUGCAUCAUUUGCAUCAUAACAUGUUUAUUUUCAAAAGAAUAAUGCAAUAAAAAAAAUGAAAAAAAUGAAAAAAG